UACGUAGGGCGCAAGCGUUGUCCGGAAUUAUUGGGCGUAAAGAGCUCGUAGGCGGCUUGUCACGUCGGGUGUGAAAGCCCGGGGCUUAACCCCGGGUCUGCAUUCGAUACGGGCAGGCUAGAGUGUGGUAGGGGAGAUCGGAAUUCCUGGUGUAGCAGUGAAAUGCGCAGAUAUCAGGAGGAACACCGGUGGCGAAGGCGGAUCUCUGGGCCAUUACUGACGCUGAGGAGCGAAAGCGUGGGGAGCGAACAGG
This 253-nucleotide ribosomal RNA is filed under the name uncultured bacterium. RNAcentral describes it as "partial 16S ribosomal RNA". It matches the Rfam family "Bacterial small subunit ribosomal RNA", at positions 524 to 776 of the family's 1533-position model. The record is from RNAcentral.